Molecule: ribosomal RNA, 497 nt
Filed under: uncultured bacterium
Lineage: Bacteria
Description: partial 16S ribosomal RNA
Rfam family: Bacterial small subunit ribosomal RNA
Source: RNAcentral
GACGAACGCUGGCGGCGUGCUUAACACAUGCAAGUCGAACGGUGAAGCGCCUUCCUUUCUGGUGGGUGUGGAGGAGUGGCGAACGGGUGAGUAACACGUGAGUAACCUGCCCCCUCCUUCUGGAUAACCGCAUGAAAGUGUGGCUAAUACGGGAUAUUCUGGGUCUGUCGCAUGAUGGGUCUGGGAAAGAUAUUGUUUCGGUUGGGGAUGGGCUCGCGGCCCAUUAGCUUGUUGGUGGGGUGAUGGCCUACCAAGGCGGCGAUGGGUAGCCGGCCUGAUGGGGUGGUCGGCGGCACCACUGGUGAGGCGCGGCCCAGCCGCCUCCGGCAGGCAGCAGCAGUGAGGCUUACGGCACAGUGGGCGGCCUGCUGGUGCAACGACGCCGGAUUGGGGAUGGGCUCCGGCGGGUUGUGCACUGCUUUCGGCGGUGAACCAGGGUGGACUUGUCUGUGGGUGGCUUGACGGUAGCUGGUUAGGAAGCCCCGGCUAACUACGUG